This 440-nucleotide ribosomal RNA is filed under the name uncultured Methylobacterium sp. RNAcentral describes it as "bacterial SSU rRNA". It matches the Rfam family "Bacterial small subunit ribosomal RNA", at positions 338 to 795 of the family's 1533-position model. Lineage: Bacteria; Pseudomonadati; Pseudomonadota; Alphaproteobacteria; Hyphomicrobiales; Methylobacteriaceae. The record is from RNAcentral.
CCUACGGGAGGCUGCAGUGGGGAAUAUUGGACAAUGGGCGCAAGCCUGAUCCAGCCAUGCCGCGUGAGUGAUGAAGGCCUUAGGGUUGUAAAGCUCUUUUAUCCGGGCCGAUAAUGACGGUACCGGAGGAAUAAGCCCCGGCUAACUUCGUGCCAGCAGCCGCGGUAAUACGAAGGGGGCUAGCGUUGCUCGGAAUCACUGGGCGUAAAGGGCGCGUAGGCGGCGUUUUAAGUCGGGGGUGAAAGCCUGUGGCUCAACCACAGAAUGGCCUUCGAUACUGGGACGCUUGAGUAUGGUAGAGGUUGGUGGAACUGCGAGUGUAGAGGUGAAAUUCGUAGAUAUUCGCAAGAACACCGGUGGCGAAGGCGGCCAACUGGACCAUUACUGACGCUGAGGCGCGAAAGCGUGGGGAGCAAACAGGAUUAGAGACCCCAGUAGUC